RNAcentral lists this non-coding RNA (26 nucleotides) under Rattus norvegicus (Norway rat). The record is from RNAcentral. Lineage: Eukaryota; Metazoa; Chordata; Mammalia; Rodentia; Muridae.
UCCUAAAGUGUCUUGUUUGUGCCAAG